CAGCCGCCGCGGUAAAACGAAGGGGGCUAGCGUUGUUCGGAAUUACUGGGCGUAAAGCGCACGUAGGCGGAUAUUUAAGUCAGGGGUGAAAUCCCGCAGCUCAACUGCGGAACUGCCUUUGAUACUGGGUAUCUUGAGUAUGGAAGAGGUUAGUGGAAUUGCGAGUGUAGAGGUGAAAUUCGUAGAUAUUCGCAGGAACACCAGUGGCGAAGGCGGCUAACUGGUCCAUAACUGACGCUGAGGCACGAAAGCUAGGGGAGCAAACAGGAUUAGAUACCCCGGUAGUCCCUGUCUCUUAUAA
This 301-nucleotide ribosomal RNA is filed under the name uncultured bacterium. RNAcentral describes it as "partial 16S ribosomal RNA". It matches the Rfam family "Bacterial small subunit ribosomal RNA", at positions 509 to 809 of the family's 1533-position model. The record is from RNAcentral.